UACGGAGGAUGCGAGCGUUAUCCGGAUUUAUUGGGUUUAAAGGGUGCGUAGGCGGAUUGAUAAGUUAGAGGUGAAAUGUCCGAGCUCAACUCGGGGACUGCCUCUAAUACUGUUGAUCUAGAGAGUAGAUGCGGUAGGCGGAAUGUAUGGUGUAGCGGUGAAAUGCUUAGAGAUCAUACAGAACACCGAUUGCGAAGGCAGCUUACCAAUCUAUAUCUGACGUUGAGGCACGAAAGCGUGGGGAGCAAACAGG
This 253-nucleotide ribosomal RNA is filed under the name uncultured bacterium. RNAcentral describes it as "partial 16S ribosomal RNA". It matches the Rfam family "Bacterial small subunit ribosomal RNA", at positions 524 to 776 of the family's 1533-position model. The record is from RNAcentral.